Molecule: ribosomal RNA, 457 nt
Filed under: uncultured bacterium
Lineage: Bacteria
Description: bacterial SSU rRNA
Rfam family: Bacterial small subunit ribosomal RNA
Source: RNAcentral
UACGGGAGGCAGCAGUGGGGAAUUUUGGACAAUGGGCGAAAGCCUGAUCCAGCCAUGCCGCGUGCAGGAUGAAGGCCUUCGGGUUGUAAACUGCUUUUGUACGGAACGAAAAGCCUCUUUCUAAUAAAGAGGGGUCAUGACGGUACCGUAAGAAUAAGCACCGGCUAACUACGUGCCAGCAGCCGCGGUAAUACGUAGGGUGCAAGCGUUAAUCGGAAUUACUGGGCGUAAAGCGUGCGCAGGCGGUUUUUGUAAAGACAGAGGUGAAAUCCCCGGGCUCAACCUGGGAACUGCCUUUGUGACUGCAAGGCUGGAGUGCGGCAGAGGGGGAUGGAAUUCCGCGUGUAGCAGUGAAAUGCGUAGAUAUGCGGAGGAACACCGGAUGGCGAAGGCAAUCCCCUGGGCCUGCACUGACGCUCAUGCACGAAAGCGUGGGGAGCAAACAGGAUUAGAUACC